GAUAUUCAGUUUUCUUUUUGCCCAACCUUGUCAGUCUGGUGCUAAAAAGAUUGAUUUCAAAUUGGUUUCUCAAAUACGAGCAGACGAUUUAGAAAGAAGAAUCUCAAGUGUUUUAAUAAAUUUGAUUUUCAUUCAAAGUCAAUCUCAUAAUCAAAUGGAGAAUAAGAUAAUCAAAAUGCCAAGAUAAAAGAUUAAUGCUGUUAUAUA
Hydra vulgaris (swiftwater hydra) is the source of this 207-nucleotide long non-coding RNA. RefSeq lists it as uncharacterized. The record is from RefSeq and is a predicted model, not a curated record. NCBI's taxonomy places the organism in Eukaryota, Metazoa, Cnidaria, Hydrozoa, Anthoathecata, Hydridae.